UACGGGGGGGGCAAGCGUUGUUCGGAAUUACUGGGCGUAAAGGGCUCGUAGGCGGCCCACUAAGUCUGAUGUGAAAGCCCGGGGCUCACCCCCGGAAGUGCAUUGGAAACUGGUGGACUCGAGUCCCGGAGAGGAGGGUGGAAUUCCUGGUGUAGCGGUGAAAUGCGUAGAUAUCAGGAGGAACACCGGUGGCGAAGGCGGCCCUCUGGACGGUGACUGACGCUGAGGAGCGAAAGCGUGGGGAGCGAACAGG
RNAcentral lists this ribosomal RNA (253 nucleotides) under uncultured bacterium. Its description in RNAcentral is "partial 16S ribosomal RNA". It matches the Rfam family "Bacterial small subunit ribosomal RNA", at positions 524 to 776 of the family's 1533-position model. The record is from RNAcentral.